CAGCCGCCACGGUAAUACGUAGGUGGCAAGCGUUGUCCGGAAUUAUUGGGCGUAAGGGGCUCGCAGGCGGUUUCUUAAGUCUGAUGUGAAAGCCCCCGGCUCAACCGGGGAGGGUCAUUGGAAACUGGGAAACUUGAGUGCAGAAGAGGAGAGUGGAAUUCCACGUGUAGCGGUGAAAUGCGUAGAGAUGUGGAGGAACACCAGUGGCGAAGGCGACUCUCUGGUCUGUAACUGACGCUGAGGAGCGAAAGCGUGGGGAGCGAACAGGAUUAGAUACCCGCGUAGUCCCUGUCUCUUAUAC
RNAcentral lists this ribosomal RNA (301 nucleotides) under uncultured bacterium. RNAcentral's name for it is "partial 16S ribosomal RNA". It matches the Rfam family "Bacterial small subunit ribosomal RNA", at positions 509 to 807 of the family's 1533-position model. The record is from RNAcentral.